This 259-nucleotide ribosomal RNA is filed under the name uncultured bacterium. RNAcentral's name for it is "partial 16S ribosomal RNA". It matches the Rfam family "Bacterial small subunit ribosomal RNA", at positions 793 to 1055 of the family's 1533-position model. The record is from RNAcentral.
GUCCACGCUGUAAACGAUGAUUACUAGGUAUGGGGUCUGACCCCUUCCGUGCCGGAGUUAACACAAUAAGUAAUCCACCUGGGGAGUACGGCCGCAAGGUUGAAACUCAAAGGAAUUGACGGGGCCCGCACAAGCAGUGGAUUAUGUGGUUUAAUUCGAAGCAACGCGAAGAACCUUACCAGGUCUUGACAUCGUGCGCAUACCAUAGAGAUAUGGGAAGCCCUUCGGGGCGCAUAGACAGGUGGUGCAUGGUUGUCGU